GCUUGCUCCUUUGACGUUAGCGGCGGACGGGUGAGUAACACGUGGAUAACCUACCUAUAAGACUGGGAUAACUUCGGGAAACCGGAGCUAAUACCGGAUAACAUAUUGAACCGCAUGGUUCAAUAGUGAAAGGCGGCUUUGCUGUCACUUAUAGAUGGAUCCGCGCCGUAUUAGCUAGUUGGUAAGGUAACGGCUUACCAAGGCAACGAUACGUAGCCGACCUGAGAGGGUGAUCGGCCACACUGGAACUGAGACACGGUCCAGACUCCUACGGGAGGCAGCAGUAGGGAAUCUUCCGCAAUGGGCGAAAGCCUGACGGAGCAACGCCGCGUGAGUGAUGAAGGUCUUCGGAUCGUAAAACUCUGUUAUCAGGGAAGAACAAAUGUGUAAGUAACUGUGCACAUCUUGACGGUACCUGAUCAGAAAGCCACGGCUAACUACGUGCCAGCAGCCGCGGUAAUACGUAGGUGGCAAGCGUUAUCCGGAAUUAUUGGGCGUAAAGCGCGCGUAGGCGGUUUUUUAAGUCUGAUGUGAAAGCCCACGGCUCAACCGUGGAGGGUCAUUGGAAACUGGAAAACUUGAGUGCAGAAGAGGAAAGUGGAAUUCCAUGUGUAGCGGUGAAAUGCGCAGAGAUAUGGAGGAACACCAGUGGCGAAGGCGACUUUCUGGUCUGUAACUGACGCUGAUGUGCGAAAGCGUGGGGAUCAAACAGGAUUAGAUACCCUGGUAGUCCACGCCGUAAACGAUGAGUGCUAAGUG
Molecule: ribosomal RNA, 759 nt
Filed under: Staphylococcus warneri
Lineage: Bacteria; Bacillati; Bacillota; Bacilli; Caryophanales; Staphylococcaceae
Description: bacterial SSU rRNA
Rfam family: Bacterial small subunit ribosomal RNA
Source: RNAcentral